UUGCAAUGAUGACUCAAAAAAAUCUGUCAAUCCCCUGAGUACUGCCAUUGAUGUCUCCAUGUCUCUGAGCAA
Molecule: small nucleolar RNA, 72 nt
Organism: Ochotona princeps (American pika)
Lineage: Eukaryota; Metazoa; Chordata; Mammalia; Lagomorpha; Ochotonidae
Source: Ensembl